GAUGAAGAACGCAGCGAAAUGCGAUACGUAGUGUGAAUUGCAGAAUUCAGUGAAUCAUCGAAUCUUUGAACGCACCUUGCACCCUUUGGCAUUCUGAAGGGUAUGCUCGUUUGAGUGUCAUUGUACUCUCACACUCCCGAUCUUUGCAUUGGGAGCAGUGGACUUGGGUUUGCUGCUUCACCGUCGCUUACCUCAAAUAGGUUAGUGCAACUCUUGGUUGGACAUAGUACGGCGUGAUAAGUGUUCUUCGCCGGUGCCUCGCAAAGAGGGUGGCCGAUCGGGAUGUUGUGCUCCAAACCGUCUUCGGACAAUCUCUGACGACUUGACCUCAAAUCGAGUAAGACUACCCGCUGAACUUAAGCAUAUCAAUAAGCGGAGGA
Molecule: unclassified non-coding RNA, 380 nt
Filed under: soil metagenome
Description: partial contains 5.8S ribosomal RNA, internal transcribed spacer 2, and large subunit ribosomal RNA
Rfam family: 5.8S ribosomal RNA (bases 1-120)
Source: RNAcentral